RNAcentral lists this long non-coding RNA (525 nucleotides) under Oryza sativa (Asian cultivated rice). RNAcentral's name for it is "long non-coding RNA (OSAT_LNC001199)". The record is from RNAcentral. Lineage: Eukaryota; Viridiplantae; Streptophyta; Magnoliopsida; Poales; Poaceae.
UUGGGAUCCCUGUUGCAGAGUGCAGAUGAGGUUGCGAUCCCCGUACACAUUGUCCACGCGACCUGGUAAGAGCACACAGACACGGCAGAAUACAGAUUAGGUUGGUGUCAAAUUGUGUUGAGCAAAUUAAGAGCGAUCUUUUGGAGACACAGAAAGCAAGCAAGUAGGUACAUGUUGUUGGCCAGAACUUGGCGCCCCGAAGCCACGCUGCAGGGAACGCAGCAUACUCCCUGGAGUACGGCUUAGUCCAUGAGUCGCUCAUCAGAAGUUGGGGCGGGUGAGGAGCACUCUGCACAACAACGGAACAAAACAAGAAUCACAUGUCAACAUCCUGGUGAUGCAAGAGCUAUGCAGCCGCCUCAUGUUUGAACUUUUGAGUUUGGACCAUGCUAAUGUAUCUCCAAAAUUGCAUACAGCAUGAGGACUAGGAUUGAACGGGGUCUACUAACAUCUUAUAUAACCUAUAAGAAUUGGGGGUAAGAACAUAAUUGCCCGUAUAUAGAUAGAUAGGUGUUACGAACUUAC